CGCUGGCGGCGUGCCUAAUACAUGCAAGUCGAACGGUCUUUCUAUGGAAGCUUGCUUCCACUGAGAAGAUAGUGGCGAACGGGUGAGUAACACGUGGGUAACCUGCCCAUAAGAGGGGGAUAACGUCCGGAAACGGGUGCUAAUACCGCAUAGUUUUCUUGAUCGCAUGAUUGAGAAAGGAAAGACGGCCUUUGUGCUGUCGCUUAUGGAUGGACCCGCGGCGUAUUAGUUAGUUGGUGAGGUAACGGCUCACCAAGACGAUGAUACGUAGCCGACCUGAGAGGGUGAUCGGCCACAUUGGGACUGAGACACGGCCCAAACUCCUACGGGAGGCAGCAGUAGGGAAUCUUCCGCAAUGGACGAAAGUCUGACGGAGCAACGCCGCGUGAGUGAAAGAAGGUUUUCGGAUCGUAAAACUCUGUUGUCAGAGAAGAACAAGUUGGAGAGUAACUGCUCCAGCCUUGACGGUAUCUGACCAGAAAGCCACGGCUAACUACGUGCCAGCCGCCGC
RNAcentral lists this ribosomal RNA (511 nucleotides) under uncultured bacterium. RNAcentral describes it as "bacterial SSU rRNA". It matches the Rfam family "Bacterial small subunit ribosomal RNA", at positions 34 to 518 of the family's 1533-position model. The record is from RNAcentral.